RNAcentral lists this long non-coding RNA (235 nucleotides) under Elaeis guineensis (African oil palm). RNAcentral describes it as "long non-coding RNA (EGUI_LNC006039)". The record is from RNAcentral. Lineage: Eukaryota; Viridiplantae; Streptophyta; Magnoliopsida; Arecales; Arecaceae.
UGAUUGAUUCAGAUACUGCCUCUGAUGGGUGAGGCACGUUAUAAAAUGAUAUCUAUGGACUUGGUUUCUUAUUUGUUUGAGAGCUUAUGAGGUCCUCCUCAUUAGGUAUAGUCGGAUUAGGGUUAAUAAGCUAUUAAGUCAUGGGCUUUAAUUGAUUGGGCUUUAACCAAAUAAGCUAUUGAGUCAUGGGCUUUAAUUGAUUUGGCUUUAACAUUUUAUGUUUUCUUAGGGAGAA